Long non-coding RNA from Plodia interpunctella (Indianmeal moth), 3931 nucleotides. RefSeq lists it as uncharacterized. The transcript is spliced from 4 exons. NCBI's taxonomy places the organism in Eukaryota, Metazoa, Arthropoda, Insecta, Lepidoptera, Pyralidae. The record is from RefSeq and is a predicted model, not a curated record.
GGCUUACUCUCGAAAUCAAUCUCAAUCUCAAUUUAGUCUCAAUGCAAUUCCAAUCACAAUUUUGUUUGUUACUCUUGAAGUCAUUACUAUUGCGAUUGUAUUGGCAUUGGGAUUGUCUCGUAAUUGUCGAUUCCACUGUACGUCAACAUGACAUCAACCUGUCAGCCACGGAAAUAGAACAAAUGAAUGAACGAAAACUUUAAUAAAAAUUAUAAAAUUUAAGUAAUUUUAAAGAAAAUUAUUUAUAUUCAGAGGUACUUUUAUCAAAAAUGCUUAUUUCUUACUAAUAACAUAUUUUUUAGACAAGAAUGAUCAAAUUAAAUUUUUGAAUCGGCUUAUUUGGCUGUAUGAGUUUAUUCCUGUGUCUCAACAUGUGUAGAGUUUACAAAAAAAAGUCAUAACAUAAAACAACCAGCCGACGGCCGGUUACACUUACUUAUUAAACCUAUACAAAAAGAAAUAAAUCAAUCAGCUGAAGCUGAAAAUCCAUAUUGUGUUUUAAGUGCUCGGCGCUCUUAAGUUUGUGGGACGAAGUUACCAAAAAUGAAGUUUAAAGUUGCUACAAUAUUCACGGCACAACAACGUUGUUUCUUCUUUGUUUACACUCCGAAAUUAAGGUACGUAUUUUUAUUAGUAUGUAUGUUGUGAAUGUUUAUUAUUAACUAGCGAUUUAAUGUUGUAAAAGUGAUCUUAAAGUAGAAUAAUAUGCUGGGCUAAGGUUAGCUAGCAAUGAAAUACUUGAGUAAAGUUAAAUAUCUAUCAAUAUUAGUCAUGUACUAAAUCAUAAUUAUUUCCUUUUCAUGGUUUAGUAUUGGGCAGAAAAGAAGUCUGCCUUGAAGAAGCUGUGCAACGGGCUCAGUCCAUGAGGCGCACUGGCGGUAGCUUAGAUAUGGUGCUAGGGCUGUCACUACUUUUUAUUUAUUUGUGGCAGUCAGUGGCAGUCAUGGGUGGUGGGUGACUCUCUUGCCACAGGUACCAGGGGAAUAGCUGUAGACCCCUUUCCACAAAGUAAUUCUCGCCCUUCUAAAUUAAUAGACCUGCCAUCCACAUCACAGGCUGCCACUGAAACCCUGGAAAUAGAGCAAGAAAUUCAUAUUCAUAAUCCACAGCCUCCUGUGGAGGCAGGGCUGCAGGUAGAACACAGCGAGCAGCAAGGUGAAAAAAGUUUUGUAGGCAUUAUAUGAUUCCAUACUAAUAUUUAUGAAGUUUUGUGUAGAUUUUUAAAUGUUAUUUAAAUAAUAAUUUAUUAAUUAUUACAAAUUAUAUUAGUGUUCUCUGUAUUUUAGGUCAAUAAAGAUUAUAAACAAUAAAUAUAUUUUUUAAAUAAUGAUUGUUUUUAUACUUCCUGUGAGGAUAUUCCCAACCAAAUAUUACUCAUUAUCACACACCACAUGCUGCCCACAAUUGUCGCACAAGAUUUGCUCUAGCUUCUAUACCCCUUUGCAGCUCUAUAGAAGCUCCAUCUCUUUCUUGUAGUGCAGGUUCUACAUCAACAGUUAGGUCUGUAUGUUAUUAGGGUUCUCAUCAUCUUCCACUAUUAAAUGUGCCCGGUUACACAUAUUGUGGAGCAUGCAGCAAGUGUUUAUAAUUUUUGUUGCUACAACAGGGUAAUAAUGUAACACUCUAUAUAUUAUGUGUUUAUGCAGAACACUCGGGCUGUUUAAUGCUGCACUCACAUCCCUCAAUGCUCGAGAUAAUGAUUGCUGUGACAUGGGAGUACCUAGUAUCCCGCCAGUCGCAAAGAAUGAAAGUGCUAUUAGUAUCUGUAAACCAAAACCAAUUUAUUAAACACAGGUUCUUUUGUGUUUCAGUAUCACAAACAAACACAUAAUUUCAAACAAAAUUACCUUGUAUUUUUUACUGAUAUCAUUUCUCGUUUUUGUAGUUUGCAUCAAGGGUUCAAAUUCUUAGCACAAUCCAUAAAAAAAUGCCUUGGUGACACAAUAAUUUCGCUUAAACUCGUCGUCAGUCAUAGCAAGGGUUUUAUCGGCGUAUCGAGCAUUCCUACGCAAAUUACGAGUUUCUCGCGAAUCCUUCCUAUAGACAUCACUAAGAAUUACGCUUUGCAACACCAAACGAACCAUUUUAUGCACUUUUUCACAGCUAAAAUGUUAACUCAAUUCUAACAAAGUUACUCUUUCGCUAUUGUUACAAUAUCCAAUAACAACACAAUUUCAACGCAAUAUGGAGCUGUCAAAGUGGCUUCAAGAGUAACGAUCUCAAGUUCCAAAACUCAAUCCCAAUGAAAUUUAGUUCAUUCAAUAUCCGCACCAAUGUGGCGCUAGUGUUAAAUUCAAGAGUGCCAAAUGACGUUUCUUGCAUUGAGAUUGGGAUCGUAUAUUGGGAUUGUGAUUCGAGAGUAAGCCUCCAGCAGGCUUACUCUCGAAAUCAAUCUCAAUCUCAAUUUAGUCUCAAUGCAAUUCCAAUCACAAUUUUGUUUGUUACUCUUGAAGUCAUUACUAUUGCGAUUGUAUUGGCAUUGGGAUUGUGUCGUAAUUGUCGAUUCCACUGUACGUCAACAUGACAUCAAUCUGUCAGCCACGGAAAUAGAACAAAUGAAUGAACGAAAACUUUAAUAAAAAUUAUAGAAUUUAAGUUAUUUUAAAGAAAAUUAUUUAUAUUCAGAGGUACUUUUAUCAAAAAUGCUUAUUUCUUACUAAUAACAUAUUUUUUAGACAAGAAUGAUCAAAUUAAAUUUUUGAAUCGGCUUAUUUGGCUGUAUGAGUUUAUUCCUGUGUCUCAACAUGUGUAGAGUUUACAAAAAAAAAGUCAUAACAUAAAACAACCAGCCGACGGCCGGUUACACUUACUUAUUAAACCUAUACAAAAAGAAAUAAAUCAAUCAGCUGAAGAUGAAAAUCAAUAUUGUGUUUUAAGUGCUCGGCACUCUUAAAUUUGUCGAAAUUAAUUUUUGGGACGAAGUUACCAAAAAUGAAGUUUAAAGUUGCUACAAUAUUCACGGCACAACAACGUUGUUUCUUCUUUGUUUACACUCCGAAAUCAAGAAAAGAAGUCUGCCUUGAAGAAGCUGUGCAACGGGCUCAGUCCAUGAGGCGCACUGGCGGUAACUUAGAUAUGGUGCUAGGGCUGUCACUACUUUUUAUUUAUUUGUGGCAGUCAGUGGCAGUCAUGGGUGAUGGGUGACUCUCUUGCCACAGGUACCAGAGGAAUGGCUGUAGACCCCUUUCCACAAAGUAAUUCUCGCCCUUCUAAAUUAAUAGACCUGCUAUCCACAUCACAGGCUGCCACUGAAACCCUGGAAAUAGAGCAAGAAAUUCAUAUUCAUAAUCCACAGCCUCCUGUGGAGGUAGGGCUGCAGGUAGAACACAGCGAGCAGCAAGGCGAAAAAAGUUUUGUAGGCAUUAUAUGAUUCCAUACUAAUAUUUAUGAAGUUUUGUGUAGAUUUUUAAAUGUUAUUUAAAUAAUAAUUUAUUAAAUACAAAUUAUAUUAGUGUUCUCUGUAUUUUAGGUCAAUAAAGAUUAUAAACAAUAAAUAUAUUUUUUUAACUUAAUGAUUGUUUUUAUACUUCCUGUGAGGAUAUUCCCAACCAAAUAUUACUCAUUAUCACACACCACAUGCUGCCCACAAUUGUCGCACAAGAUUUGCUCUAGCUUCUAAGGGGUAUCCCUUUGCAGCUCUAUAGAAGCUCCAUCUCUUUCUUGUAGUGCGGGUUCUACAUCAACAGUUAGGUCUGUAUGUUAUUAGGGUUCUCAUCAUCUUCCACUAUUAAAUGUGCCCGGUUGCACAUAUUGUGGAGCAUGCAGCAAGUGUUUAUAAUUUUUGUUGCUACAACAGGGUAAUAAUGUAACACUCUAUAUUUUAUGUUUUUAUGCAGAACACUCGGGCUGUUUAAUGCUGCAGUCACAUCCCUCAAUGCUCGAGAUAAUGAUUGCUGUGACAUGGGAGUACCUAGUAUCCCGCCAGUCGCAA